AAAAAUAAAAAGGGCUUGGGAUAUGGCUCAGUGAUUUAGUGUCCCUGGGUUCAAUCCCUGGUUAAAAAAAUAAAAAAAAAAAAUUUAAAAAAAAGGAAGAGAAGGAGGGAGAGUAAAAGACUUCUUUGGAGGUUCCAUUUCCAUUUUGACACAUUGAGCACAAUAAUAUAACUUAGAUUUUAGUCUUUUUGUUUGGUGAUUUUGAGCAUGUUAAUGGAAUUAACCAAGGUAAGAGGCUUUGAAUCAACUAAAGGAGUCACAAAGAAGCGCUUAUCUAAGAAAGGGGUAACAAAAGUGGGAAGACAAGAACAAGUAUUCGAGAAACACUUGGAAAUAACUAAAUAUAAAGUUCAAAUCACCAGUUCAUCUGAUUUCUGUCUUUGACUGUCAUUUGUCUUUGGUGUUUGCUACUUGAUCUUGUCCACAAUUUCUAUCUUAACUUACCAGAUCCCUGGCAUGUCUAAUAAAGGAAGGGUUUCUUCACAUCAUUUCUCUUCCAAGAUGCUGAGGAUGGGUAGAUACAAUUCAGCUAGUAUACCCGCACCUCCCCCCACACACACACACAGUCAGAUGUUUUUAAACAUGACCGUUGGUCACUCUCAAGAGAGUAUAUUAAAAUGGGUGAGUGACCAUCUAUUGUGUUGACUCUAAACCCCUUCAAGUUAGAUACUUAUGAAUAAUAAUGAUGAGUAAACAGUCAGACUGGCUAAAUACUCAAUAGUCUUCUGUGAUAUGCAAAGGAGAUUAUGCAACCAAUGGAAUAUUUUUGAGUGCUGAAUUGAUUCUGAGUAUUGGGUUACACACUGUAAACUGAAAAUCUAUUCAAGUCACUACAGUCUCUUGAACUUGAUAUCUUAAAUGACUGUUUAUUCUUCCACUGUAAGAAUAACUUAAAGAUUAUUCUCCUACAGCAGUUUAUGUAUUUUAAACUUUCACAGAAAUAUUUAGACCUACACUGAUAUUAUGAGCAAUAUGACAAAAUAGUCCCUUUAUUUUUCUUCAGCAAUUAUUAAUAUUUUUCCAAAUGUUUCCAACCUUUUAUUGGCCCUUAUGUUUUUAACUGAAUAUUAUACAGCAAAUAUCAAAUGUGUUAUUUGAAAAUAAUUCUGUAUGUAUCUCUAACUGAUAAGAACUAUUUUGUCAUAACAAACAUUCCUUUGUUAUAGCAUAAAUCCUUAAUAUUAUGUAUUAUACAUCCUAUGCACAUAUGUCACCAAUUGUGUCAGAGAUAUCCCUUUAUGGUUAGUUUAUUCAAAUAAGGAUCCAAACAAGAUUCACACAUCCUUUUUUGGCUACCCUGUCUUUAAUAUAUCAUGAUUUUGUUAUUUGGUUGUUACGUCUGCAAUAGUCUUCUCUUAAUUUGUCUCAACAUUUAUUUAUUGGAAAAACAAAUUUUAUUUCAUGGGUUGUCAUACUUUUCUACUUUUAAAACAAGCCUAUAACUCACUCAACAUUAUUCAGCUAUUGCAUCCUGAGUAAUUACUAUGUAUAGGACAUUGUACUAGGUGCUAGGUACGAUUCAAAGAUAACUAUAAUUUAUGGUCUCUAUCUCUAAGACUUUACAAUCUGGAGGAAAAGGAAAACUAAAAAUGCACAUCUAUAGUGACAAAUAGUGGCAAUAUAACUUAAGUGGUAUUAAUACUAUAGUUUUAAAGGCAGAUGUAUGCAUUAGAAGAUGAGGUCAGUCUUUGUUGUGAAAGUCAGCCAGUGAGAUAGAUGUGUUAGAAUGACCAGCAGUUCAAAAAGUUUGUUUGGGAGGGCAUUAAAAAGGAAGUUCAUUUUAUGAUUAAAAAAACUUGGGGGAGGGGGAGCCAUAAAUCUGAGUGGUGGGAAAAGAGAGAUAUUUUUAAGGGGUUAUUAAAAUAAUUCAGUGAAAGAAGAACAUUUGCAAAGGAUAUGCCUAAAAGAUAAGUAGGGGACAGGUUUGUGAGGAUAUUAAAUGACAGGCUAAAUAGCAUGAACACUGUCCUCUAGAACAGAAAAUAACUAGCUCCAUCCAUUUUUCCUUAUAUGGGAGACUUGCUCAUUAUGUAAACCUAGAUAUUUCAUUAGCAAGCAAAAUACAUCAGCUCAUUUCAUAAGGGAACUUAAAAAACUGUUGAUGUACUCCAAUAGCAUCAUUUUCAAAUAUUUAUAGCAAAUUGGCAACAUAAUUUGAUGUUUUAUUUUGCCCAACAGCCAAGAUUCUCCAUUUAGAGGAAAACAAAUUGAAACUGAUUUAACCAACACCUAUUACAUGGCAGCUGAGGAAAACUUCAUAAAGCAAGAAGAAUGAAUGUAACACAGUAAAGAAAACAACUACUCAAUAAAUUCAACAUAUGAGAGAUGGGAGAUGACUCUAGUGAAGAUAGGGAUACUAGUUAUGCAAACCUCAAACUCUAAAUUUUCAUCUCUUAUGAAAAUUCAGUGGUGUUUAUAAUAUGUAUGUUUUCUACCAGUUGUAAAUAUGUAUUAGCCCCAAAAUUUUCUUUACUAGAAUAAUGCUAAUUGAGUUUCAUUAUUAAAAUAUUCUCACAUGAGAAUUAAAUCAAAAACAAAAGAAAUUAAAUUAAAGAAAGCAUACAUUGAACUUAGUUGCUUUAUUGGUAAGUAUCUUCUUUCUGUAUGUUCAUUCUUUAAUAAUUAUUGGACAUGGUAUUCUACAUCAUUAUAUACCUUUUCAUGUUAUUGGGUGCCCACAUAUGCCAGAAUUUGUGCUAGGUUUUAGAGUAAAAUUGUACACAAGAUAUAGUAGUAGUAUUCCAGAGGCUUGUAUUCUAAUAUACAUGAUCCAACACAUAUGUAUAGAAGUAAAAUUAUGGGCAGGAUUGAAAUAAAGAAAGGGAUUAGUUUAAAGUUUCUCAGCAGCAAUACUACAGACAUUUUCAAUCAGCUAUUCCUUGAAACUUCUUAGUGGUAGAGAGACAUCACCUCCUCAAUUCUGAGAACCAAAAUUGUCUCCAGAUAUUUCUAAAUGUUCCCUGGGGACUUAGUACAAAUUGCCUGCUGUUUUGAGCCACUGGAUUAGAUGGAAAGUGCUAUAUGCACUUUGCUAAUGAAGACAACUUCCAGGUGAGGAAAUCAAGGACAGUUGAUAGAGGUGUAGGGGCUGAUGUGACUAAGUGGAGAAGAGAAAAGCAUUUGGGAGGAAAGAAUAUAAUGAAUAGUGGCUAAACUUAAGAUGGAAAGGCAGUGGGUAGAUAUAGAGUAUGGUCAGGAGUCAUAUAUAGAACUUAAUGUUUGGGACGUGGUUAGUUUUAAAAAAUUGCCUGAUACUGUAAAAAGCAAUCAAAUGAUUGAAGUCUUUGAAUAUAAAACAAGGAGUACUUUUUUUUUUUUUUAGUUUCGUAGACAUGUCAUUUGAACACAUAAGGAAAAUGUAUAAAGCAUCAUUUUAGAAAUGUUAAUGUGGUAUUUGUGGAUAGAAUGAUUGAUCAAUAAGAAUAAGUCCAUUGAGAUAUAGGAUUCAGUUGAGGACAAACUUUGGCAGAAGUUUAUAUGUGGGGCUAUGUAUGUCUCAGAAUGAAGUCAGAGAAGGGGAAGAACAAGUAAGGAAUUCUAUUCUGUAAUUUGCUUUUAUGUUUGACGUCAAUUGUUGUUGGCAUUGUUUUCUCAGAGCGAACACUUCUUGAUAGAGCUGAUUGGCAGAUGUGCCCAGAUUCUCUAGUACUCCAGCAAGUGGAAAGUGGAAUGAUGCUUUCCUCCAAAAAGCAAUCCUGCUCACCACGGAAGACACUGGAACCAUGGAAGGCAUUGGAGUGGGGUCUUCACCAAAAACGUCAAUCAUUCACCUGUUUUUAAUUUCACCUGCAAAAAGUGUUCAAUGGCUCAAACAGAAGUCAACUUUGAUUCACCUGUGGUCUUCAGUGAAAACCUAUCAUAAACCUGUAAAUUUUUAAAAUAAAUAGUAUUUAAAAUAUG
Ictidomys tridecemlineatus (thirteen-lined ground squirrel) is the source of this 3900-nucleotide non-coding RNA. The record is from RefSeq and is a predicted model, not a curated record. Lineage: Eukaryota; Metazoa; Chordata; Mammalia; Rodentia; Sciuridae.